This 4598-nucleotide long non-coding RNA is filed under the name Sus scrofa (pig). RNAcentral describes it as "lncRNA (ENSSSCG00000061487.1)". The record is from RNAcentral. Lineage: Eukaryota; Metazoa; Chordata; Mammalia; Artiodactyla; Suidae.
GUUUUCCAUGUACUGAGUUUCCUCACGAAUGUAUGUAGUAAAAACAAUGCCUCUGAUUUAGUUCAGUGAGGUCAGCAGGUCCUUCUUCCAUAUAUAUUAGGUUAAUCCAUAUCCAAUGGCCACUUUUGUAGAUGAAUUGGUCAAACAUUAGCAAUUCCAUAAGAUUCACUCUAAUACCUACAAUAUUGUAUUGAUCACUGACUUCCUGUUUAUAGAAUGCUGUUAAAUAGCUAUGGAAAAUAUGAUCCUUCCAUAUAUAAACACACACACACGCAAAACUUAAUUUUGUCCAUUGAAAUCAACUCAGUUUGACUUUCAGCUUAAUUCUCAGCUUUCUCAUUCCUUCCUGAAUUCCAUUCACCUCCUGGAAGCUAUGACAUGAAGUAGAAUUUGUCUGGUCCCUGACAGUCCUCUAUCCACACACCUUCCACUGAAAUGAUCAUUUUCCUUUGCUUUUUGUUGUUAUGUUAGUAUGUCCCCUUAUGCCCUUUCCUGGCCACUGUUAGGGGUGAAUUGUGUCUCCCUAAGUCUUAGUACCCCGUUAUCUGUGAACAUUACAUUAUUUGGAAAUAGAGUCUCUGCAGAUGUAAUUAGUAAGUAUGAAGUAAUUAGGGUGGGCUCUAAUCUAACAUGGCGUGUGUCCUUAUAAGAGGAAAAUUCAGACACAGAGGCAAAUGCCCUGUGAUGACAGAAGCAGAGAACCGAGUGAUGUGGCUACAAGCCAAGAGCACCAAGGAUUGGCAGCUACCAACAGAAGAGUUCUUCCCUGCAAGUUUCAGAGGUGGUAUGGCCCUGAUGACAUCUUCAUUUUGGACUUCUAACCUCCAGAUCUGUGAGACAACACAUUUCUGUUAUUUCAGGUCACCAGAUUUGUGGCGCUUUGUUACUGGCAGUCCUGGGAAACUAAUAUAGUCUCUUACUGAGUUAUAUCUUAUUUUAUGAUAUCCUGAGUUUGUGUUCAUUGUCCCCUUUGUGAUAAACAGGAAGUCUCAUGCAAAGGGCUGGUGGAGGAGGUGGGGAGGCAAUGUCAGGGCAGCGGGAAAGGAAUCAGACAUGGUGAACACUGGAACCCAGAAAAAGCAUCCAUGCUGUUGUUACUGUAGUUCUACAGGCUGGUGCUGAUAACACGAUUCAACCAGAAAUGGAGAGAAGAGGGUGGUGUCAAUACCCUCCAGCCCAAACCCACCAGGAAUGCGUCUGUGUAGCUGGACCAGCUGGACUGUUUACUCAGCCCUCAAGAGAACACACAGCAUUCUCCUUAAGAGAAUAUUAGAAAGAACCUCUUUUAGGAUGUGGGCUUUGGUUGGGUGAUUUGGGAGAGAGUCUAAGAAAGUGGGAUUUCACUCUAGGUUGGAUGCCAUCAGAAAAUGGGGGAAAUUCUUUGACUGCAUGUCUCAAUAGUUUAUCUGUAGGGAGGGCAAACCAGAGCAGACAUAAAGCUGUAACUGGAAGGGAGUUCCCGCUGUGGUGCAGUGGGUUCAGAAUCUGACUGCGGCAGCUCAUGUUGCUGCAGAGAUGCAGAUUUAUCCCCAGCCUAGCAUAGUGAGUUAAGGAUCUGGUGUUCCCAUAGCAGGGGUGUAGUUCACACCUGCAGUUCGGAUUCAAGCCCUGGCCCAGGAAUUUCCACAUGCCAUGGGUGCAGGGGAAAAAAAAAAGCUGUAACUGGUAAAGCAGAAAUAGUCCCUCCUUUUAGUGAAAAUGGAGGUUUUCAUGGGUUUCACAGUGAUUUUUUUUUCUUCUUACUUUGUCAUGGUCUUAGGCCAACAUUGACAUUCCGUGAGAUUGCCUUAUUCAGCAGAACAACAGUGACCCAAACAAGCUUGUAAUGACCUUGAGGCCAAUUUCCAGAGGGAGCUUCUUCCCUACCCUCUUCCUCAAUGUCUACAGAGCUAUUUAAAAUGUAAAAAUCAGCAAAUAGCCUCGAUAGCUUUGCUAGGAAAGGGGAAAGAACUAGAGUUCAUGAAGCCUUAGGCACUGGUCCUGGCCAGCAGAUUGACUGCAUGUGCUAGGAACCAAGUUUGGGAAUAUGGGUGGAAGAGCAGGUUUGUAGCCAGUGAGGAAGAGCUCCGUUUUAGCCACUCUGAGCUUGAAGUAGUCCAGCCAGUUUUCAAUCUCAUACCCUGGAAGUCGGCAUUGUGUGCACAGAAAACAAAACUCACUGAUAUUAAAAUACCUCCUGAAACAUUUGCACAGCGCGUGCCAAACAAGGACAUCUAGAUAUUAAUAAUGCCUUCACCUGUAUUUUGUCCACAAAGUGGCAUGUCUAAGAAUUUUUAUUUCUCAUCCAAACCCUCCUGUAUUACAACCAUUCCUUCCUUGUACUUCGAGGUGCAUAGAACGCACCCCUCCCUUAGCCCCGACACAACUUCUUACUGCCUUUCAAAAUGGAAAUAAGCUCAGAGUCAAUUCCAUUUUCCCGGCUCCCCAUUCUCUGUGGGUUAGAACUGUCCCAGUUAAUUUAAAGCCAAGGCAGAUGGUAAUUCAUCUUUGGCAUUCAAUGCAGAUGCUAAAGUUCUGUUCCAGAACCCGAGUCAGCUAGCAAGGAGAGAGGGGUUACAGGCAGCCUGCUUAAAUAAACGCUUGAGAUGUGAAACUUCCCCAAGGCUCAGCAGUCUCACCCACCUGUCCACGCUGCCAGCAAUGUCACUCUCCAGGAGGCUGAAGGUUGAGAAACUAGGUAGAAGGCAGGAGUGCAAUAGUGGGUUUAGUAAGAGGACACUGAGGCUGGCAUGAAAGCCCUGGCAGGUGCCCAGAGGAGAACUCUGAAUGAACACGACUCAACAGGCUUCCUCAGGAAAGUGUAUCUGGAAAAUACAUUGGAAUAUAUUUCCAAGUGUGUGAAAGACAGUUCCCAGCACAUAGUACUCACUAAGUCUUUGCUGAAGAAAUGAAUGAAAAGCUUGGCUCCAGGUAGCAAGUAGUUCUCAUCUGAGCCCUUACAGUUCCCUUCGAUUUUACCAGGGUGCUCUUUCCUUUCAUAUAGACACAUGAGAAAUGGCACCAUGAAAUAGACCUGCUUCUUGGGAAACACUUAAAAAGCUACCAGUUCUUGGAGUUCACAUUGUGGUGCAGCAGAAACAAAUAUGACUAGCAACCAUGAGGUUGAGGGUUCGAUCCCUGGCCUCACUCAGUGGGUUAAGGAUCUGGUGUGUAUGUGAGCUGUGGUAUAGGUCACAGACAUGGCUCGGAUCCCGCAUUGCUGUGGCUGUGGUGUAGGCUGGCGGCUACAGAUCCGAUUUGACCCCUAGCCUGGGAACCUCUAUAUGCCACGGGUGCGGCACUAAAAAUAAAUAAAAAGUAAAUAAAAUAAAAAACUACCAGUUCCUAGAAGUAAACUCAUUCAAAUAUUCAAGGCCAGGUUCUGCAUUCUUGGAUGCAUUUCAAGAACUUAAUCACUGAGAAUAACAUAACUAAUAAAAUCCGUCUAUUUAAAAUGUCCUACUGCAUCUAAUAAAAAAUGAUACACAAUAACUUAUUUAUAAAACAGAAGUAAAUUCAUAGAUUUCAAAGCCAAUCUUAUGCUUACCAUAGGAGAAACCGCUUGCGGGGAGGGAAGAAUUGGGAGGGUGGGAAUAACACACACACACUAUUGUAUAAAAUAGAUGAUUAACAAGAACCUGCUGUAGACCAUAGGAAAAUCUACUCAAUAGUUUGUAAUAACCAAUAUGGGAAAAAAGAAUGGAUAUAUUUCUCUGUAUAACUGAUGCACUUUGCUAUACACCUGAAACUAAUACAGCAUUAUAAGUCAACUGUACUCCAACAGAAAUUUUUUUAGUGUCCUACUGCCUAGGGCCACGACCAAAAGAACAAAGGGUUCCUUCAUUCAAAAUUGUAACUAAAGCCUACUGACUGGGUUUUGCCUUAUGGUCUUGAAAGUCAGAGACCCUCUAUCAUUGCAGGCCUCCCCAAAGCGAAGCAGCAUAUGGCAUAGGAGCCCUACCUGUGGGAGGGCCUUGCAAGGGGGUUGGAGUCCUUGGAAGUUGGGGCUUUGCCAGGAGUCAAGGCCCUUCCUGUCUGGGCUUCCUCUUUGCAGAGCUAAGUACUCAGCAAAAUCCAAAAAUGCUCUAGAAUGAGUCUUCUGGCUACAUCAUCAACAUCUAUUCCAUCCAUCCCUCUUCCACUGAUAGCGAUGGAAAUGUCCUCACCCUUUGUUCCUGGAGAAGGGGAGUGAGAGCUUCUUAUUCUAAAUCAAUCAGCGAAAUCUCAUCAUCUUUGCCUUGGUGUUUAGCCUAGGGGCACUCAGGACAUAAAAUGGACCAAUCAGAGGGAAACUCAGAACUUCUCUCUCAUGGUAAGAUCAAAUGAGAGGCCUCCUUGGAAGAAUGCAGCCCUGGGAGAUGCUGGCAGCCAUCCUAUGACCGUGAGGGCACGAUCCUCAGGGGACAGCCAGUUCCAGAAAGGUGGCAAGUCAGCUCUGGUGACUAGGCAGUGCAGCUGAAGCAUUUAGUAGUUCUCAAAUGUUCACUGGCAUUAACCAAUAGUUUCUUUAUUUUUCAGAUGAGUUGGAGUCAGCUUCUGUAUAUCAAUUUAUUUAUUUAGAACAACCACUUUUAAAAAUGAUACAUACCUUUCAAAAAGUUUUUUUUAAAUAAACUUUA